Non-coding RNA from Camellia sinensis, 695 nucleotides. Lineage: Eukaryota; Viridiplantae; Streptophyta; Magnoliopsida; Ericales; Theaceae. The record is from RefSeq and is a predicted model, not a curated record.
UUUAUUGUCUAUUUGGUUUUAUAGAUCAGUCUGUUGGGUGCAUAAAUUUCCUCUUAUCUUCCUCACCCUCGUGUGACCAUCUUCCGAUUGAUUGCAGACUCCAUUGAAGCUAGACCUGCUUCCUACAGAAGCUAGAAUAAGCGGCAAGGAAUACAAGGAGAGAGUUGUUAACAAUCUCAAGAUUUUAAUUGUGCAUUACUCGGUGCACCAGUCACAUUCUAAAGCAGUGAAGAGAGCCAUCAGUGAACAUUGUGGUGUAUGGACAAUCUCAAUGCUUAGUUACUUUUACUGUUUCCAGUGCAUUGGUAUAAGUUUGCUGAUCUGCUAUACUAAUUUGCUAUUCUUCUGGUGCUGCUGCGAUGUUGCUGCUGUUGUUGAGAUGCUGUGGUGAUGCUGCUGUGAUGGUGAUUGUUACGAUGAGGUGCUGCGGUGUUGUUGUUGGAUGUUUGCUGGUGUUGUUGAUGUUUGGAAGGGUGUAGGACUUUUUGUCCAAUCUGUAAUAGAUUAGGUUUUCAUUAAUGGGGGUUGUCAUUAGGUGUAAGUUCGGGCAACUGCUGGUGUUUUGGCUGGAAGGGUAUGGAGGGGGUAUUUUGUGUGAUUUCAUAUCACUGUUAUUAGUUUGUUAUAGUGGUGCCUGAGGGAUGCCUCUUGUAAAACUGUAAAUUUUUUAAAAAAUUAUAAAUGAGUUUCAAUUA